GUGCCAGCAGCCGCGGUAAUACGGAGGGUGCAAGCGUUGUCCGGAAUCAUUGGGUGUAAAGGGUGCGUAGGCGGAGCUUUAAGUCUGCGGUGAAAUCUUGCCGCUUAACGGUAAAAGUGCCGUGGAAACUAGAGCUCUUGAGUGUAGCAGAGGCCGGUGGAAUUCGUGGUGUAGCGGUGAAAUGCAUAGAUAUCACGAAGAACACCAGUGGCGAAAGCGGCCGGCUGGGCUACGACUGACGCUGAGGCACGAGAGCGUGGGGAGCGAACAGGAUUAGAUACCCUGGUAGUCCACGCUGUAAACGAUGUGCGCUAGAUGUUGGCCCUUCGGGGUCAGUGUCGCAGUUAACGCAUUAAGCGCACCACCUGGGGAGUACGUCCGCAAGGAUGAAACUCAAAGGAAUUGACGGGGGCCCGCACAAGCGGUGGAGCAUGUGGCUUAAUUCGAUGCAACGCGCAGAACCUUACC
This 468-nucleotide ribosomal RNA is filed under the name uncultured Bacteroidota bacterium. RNAcentral describes it as "bacterial SSU rRNA". It matches the Rfam family "Bacterial small subunit ribosomal RNA", at positions 505 to 975 of the family's 1533-position model. The record is from RNAcentral. Lineage: Bacteria; Pseudomonadati; Bacteroidota.